UACCAGCACCCCGAGUGGUCGGGACGAUUAUUGGGCCUAAAACAUCCGUAGCCGGUCAUGCAAGUCCUCCGUUAAAUCCACCUGCUUAACAGAUGGGCUGCGGAAGAUACUACAAGGCUAGGAGGCGGAAGAGGCAAGCGGUACUCAGUGGGUAGGGGUAAAAUCCUCUGAUCCAUUGAAGCCCACCAGUGGCGAAGGCGGCUUGCCAAUACGCGCUCGACGGUGAGGGAUGAAAGCUGGGGGAGCAAACCGG
This 253-nucleotide ribosomal RNA is filed under the name uncultured bacterium. Its description in RNAcentral is "partial 16S ribosomal RNA". It matches the Rfam family "Archaeal small subunit ribosomal RNA", at positions 474 to 727 of the family's 1478-position model. The record is from RNAcentral.